Bos taurus (domestic cattle) is the source of this 3120-nucleotide long non-coding RNA. The record is from Ensembl. Lineage: Eukaryota; Metazoa; Chordata; Mammalia; Artiodactyla; Bovidae.
CUCCUUCGUGGCAACAAAGUCUGUUCUCUAUGUCUGUGAGUCUGUUUCUGUCUUCUGAAUAAGUUCAUCUGUGUUGUAUUUAAAUUCCACAUAUAACUUAUAUCAUAUGGUAUUUGUCUUUCUCUGACUUUUUGCUUAAUAAUCUCUAGGUCCACCCAUGGUCCUGCAAAUGGUAGUAUUUUAUUCUUUUUCAUGGCUGAGUAAUAUUCCAUGUGUAUAUAUAUAUAUAUAUGUGUGUGUGUGUGUAUAUAUAUGUAUGCAUAUAUAUAUAAAAUAUCUUACAUCUUCUUUAUCUCUUCAACUGUUAGUGGACAUUUAUGUUUUUUCCAUGUCUUGGCUAUUGUCAAUAGCGCUGCUGUGGAAGCUAAUUUUAAAAGACAUGUGCUUUUACUUCAUCUAAGCUAGUGAGGCAGAACAUAGUAAUUAUAUACAUAGCUUAUUAAUACUGUGUCCCUAAGAAAUGACGGAUCCAACUUCAAACCCAAGAUUGUUUGUUCAUAUUCUUUUUGCCAUACUCUGUCUUCUCCCAUGGCAGGACAAAGAGGUUCUUUGUCCUUUACUGUCCUUCACUGCAAUUCUUUUCAGUGGCUUUGAAAAAAAGAAAACGUCCCUUUCCCCACUGAUAUGGAAAAAUCUAGUUCUACCCUUAUAGCCUUUAAAAUAGGUAUGGAAUUCUUUACUAGUGGAGGGGAGCUUGCGUCAUUCUUGUAAGUCAAUCUGUUUCCUCUUCAGAAAUGUUCUUGUGAUAUUGGGAUUAUAAUUGCUUUGCUUUAUAUGUAUUGGGAGGUGAAACACUUGGGAAAUCUCACUGUUGUUGUGUUGUUGUUCAGUCACUAAGUCAUGUCUGACUCUUUGCCACGCCAUGGAUGUAGCCUGCCAGGCUUAUCUGACCAUGGGGUUUCCCAGGCAAGAAUGCUGGAGUGGGUUGCCAUUUCUUUCUCUAGGGGAUCUUCCUGGCCCAGGGAUCAAACCCACGUCUCCUGCAUUGGCAGGUGGAUUCUUUACCACUGAGCCACCUGGGAAGUCCGCAGGAAAGCUCAUAUGUUGGCCUCAAAACUUACUCCCAUUUUUGGGAAGGCCUCGGUUUGCUGGUAUUGUGCCUGAUUUGUUAGAAGAGGCUCAUGCAACUCUGUCGACAUGAGUCUUUUCUGUUUCCUGUUGUGAGAACUGACAGAGCAAAGCUCACCAAAAUAAUGACGUGUUUAUGCGAACAUCAAAAACUCAAAACAAAAUAGUUUGGAUCUUGUAAAUGACACCAUAGUAAACCACGAUCAUGGGAAUGGAAAACCAGCUUUAAGGGAGAAAGAAAAGAGCUUAUAAUGUCCUUUCCUGUGUCCUGCUUAUUAUGCCCAGUUCCACUCUGCCCAUACAAGUCACCCAUCUAAGAAACAAAUGUACCAUUCAUCAAGGCUGUGCUCUUUCUAAUUUGAGGCUUAUCCAAAAUUUCCUUUAGUUUUGCAAUUUUAGGGGAUAAUGUGGCUUCCCCUAAAUUCUACCCCCAUCUUUUAGAAAAGCAGUACCUCUAACUAAAUUUUAUAAGAUGCUCUCACAUUUUCAAAAAGUGAAGGGGAAUGCAGAUGACCAGGAACAGAGGGUAUGGACAAUGAAGGAGAGGUGGUACAUGCAGUUUCAGAGGAGAUGGCAAAAGAGCAUCACGCUGGUGAGACCAAAUUGUAUGCUGAGGCUGCCGCAUGUGACAGGCUGCCACACAUGGUCCUGGUUCCAGAGAAAAAGCCUUUCUACAGGUUUCUUUACAGAGGCCAGCAUCUCCGUUUCGAUUUCAGGAAAUCCCCAAACAGGAAAUGAGAUGUUGCAGGCUUUAGGCUUUGGGGACAGACUCACGAGAGAGAGAAAUUUCAGCAGCCUAAAAACUGCUCUUCUUGGCUUCUGAGGACAUGCAGCUGACCAAGGUGAACCCCGCUUCCUCCUCUUGUCCAUGUCACUGGCUCGAGCGCCUGGGUUCUAUCUCGGCACCCAUCACCCCAGAACCAGCGUUCCCUACACAGCCCACGUUCCUCCCCUUGACACGGGAAUCUGCUCACCUUGCAUGAGCCUGGAACAAACUGGUCAUUCGUGGGCAUCUUUAGGAGAAAACAACCCCUAAUCUCGUGUGGACUGGGAAGAGUCUGUCUUGGCAGGCACGGCAGAGGGGCUGCUGUAGAACUCAGGGCUGAAGCAGUCUGACCUCAGCGCUGGCAGCCUCUGCGAUGACCUUGGAAAAGACCUCAUGUCAACUUGAUCUGAACCUCCAGACAAAAUGCGUGAGUUCAGCCAAACAUUUGAAUGUUUCCGACGUUUGACUGUUUGCCAUCACAUGGAGACAGUCUUCAUGGCGCUAGACUUUGAUUUGAACCUCAAAGAAAGCGGUUGAGAAGGGGUCCCUCUCCACUCCCAUUCUCCCCUUUUCCAGCACCCUUGUAAACAAACUAUGGGGUGUAGUUGGGCCAUGCAGAUAUAGCAAGCUCUCAUACGAUUCACAUAUUGCUAGCAUACAGUGGAGGUGGGUUUAGGAUAAUUUGGAGAUGACUGGGAAGUGGCACUAAGUCUGGGACCUUGACCGUGUCACCAGGACUUGCAGAGCUUUCACGAUGCUGUUCUCUGCGUCAGGGCUCACUGCUUCCCAGUGAAACAGAGAGCGUGGUCUCGGGCAGUGCCCAGCUCCCCUCACGUCUUGGGUUUAAUGUGUCACAGAUUUCUGCAGGGCAUUGCCCAGUGGGAUAACUGAUUAAUCUGAGAUCGUCAUUAAUUGUUUCAUGCCUGUUAUAUGGGAUGGGAGGGUGGUUUCAGUGUAGAUGUAUUGUGAGAAUAGCCAGGGAUGAGAGACAGCAUUGCUUGUUUUCUCAUCUCCUGUGGACUUCAGAUCUUCCAAGUGAGCCUGGCAAUUAUCUAAGGAAGAAAAGAGCGACAUGUGGUUUUUCCCAGUGGGGGCUUUCAUUGUCCACCGGGGUCCCUGUGUUUACUGCAGCUCAAGGAAACCAUGACAACCAUAUUUGUCUCUAUUUCCUCUCCCCUUGAUGCUUCUGGUUCCAUCUGUUCAGUACUCACCAAGGAAGUCAACAUUUGGCCUCUUUUCUCAUUAUAAAUAAAAGUAUGCUUAUAUGAGUUUAUUUUGUAAGAAAU